Molecule: long non-coding RNA, 1538 nt
Organism: Alligator sinensis (Chinese alligator)
Lineage: Eukaryota; Metazoa; Chordata; Crocodylia; Alligatoridae
Exons: 3
Source: RefSeq, a predicted model, not a curated record
ACUGCUCUGUGCUGAAGGAUUUGAAGGAAACCCUGUCACACUGGACCAGGAAAGGGUGCUUCUCCACAGACUGCUGGAGAACUAAAAGCUGCCAGGGACUAUUUAUAAGAGUAGCUGUGAGAGGCUCUGUCAGAUUUGUGUGGCAGAGUCUAAAGUCCAGUGCCUGAAUAGGCAGGGAUGCAAGGUCAUUCAAGCCCAUUCAGAUGGUAGGUCACAUCUGAGGCCAUUUACAUCAAAAACUACCUGUUAAAAAGCAUUAUGCCAACUUGGUAUGUGCCAUGCAAGCAGCUAGAUACUAUUGCUGGCUCCCAUAACUUAGACUACCUGUGCUGCAAAAGCUACAAUUCAAGACCUAGUGCUGGAACAGCAGCUGGUGACAGAGUAGAAAGGAGCCAGAAUCUCAGUGGUACAAUGCAAAUGUGGGAAGAUCCCAGUGAAAAAGGAUACACUAUGUAUUUACAAUGGGCUAAAAUUGGACAGUGUACUAUAGGGACAGGUGGAAUAUAAACCUUAACUGACAAGUCAGAUGGGGCCCCAAGUCAGCAGAAAUUCACCACUACCUACAGCUAACUCGGUGCAAGGGGCAGGGUGUAGCAGGACAAAUUGUUAAAAAGCAAGGAAGGGCAGAACCUGUGCAAUGGGACACCUCCCUGUUGACUGCUUUUCUGUUACAACCUCAUCUUUCAAAGGGUGGGUGGUGGUGGUGGGUUGUUCCACUACUGUUCACAUCACCUUUGAAUUUGGCUCGAAGGGUCAGAUUUACCUCUGCACUUCCUCAUUUGCAUGUUAAAAAAAAAGCUUGCCCAAGAGAUCAAAUUCCUGGGAAAAGCACCAACCAUUUUUUUAAGCUACUUUGCCGUGCCAUUAAAGUGAACUAAGAAACAUGCUAUUUCUCCUGCAAUAUGGAUCUGUCACGGUCCACGUAGGGAAGCGCAAGCUCUCUCGGAGAGAGCUGGGAAAGUACAAUGCCCUUGAAAACAGACUCGCGGAAGCUGAAGAAUGCUGCUUCAGCAGCUAAACGAAGGUUAUUAGAUCUCAGACCAAAAGCGUUAAAAAUUGCAGAGGAACUUUUCCAGAAGAGCAGCCUGAACAAAUUGAACAGCCAAGUGGAGAAAAAAAAAAGUGUUAAGUGUUAUUGAAUAUAAAGAGGAACCACAGCACUGGGUACCUUUAAGAGGACUGCAAUACAUAUAUCAAUUAUUAACUCCCUGGCAGCAGGAAGGAAUGGCUUAUCUCUCUGACUAACAGAGAGGAGUGCUGCAGAGAUACAGGCUUCCUCUGCUUCGUAACAUUUAGUAGCUUCCUGAUGCCACCUUGUUAUGCCUUUCUGCAUGAAGCUAAAAAGCCCUUUCAGACCUGGUGUUUUCUCCUCAUGAAGUCCUUUUACCGAAAGUCAUCACCUUGAAACAGAAGUGAGCAUCUUCAGAGGUAGAGGCUGCUACUGACCUUACGGACAGACACUCUGCAGAUGCACGGAUCCAGGAGGCCAGUGGCAGGAUUGGCACUCAUUUUACAUACAAAGGUGAAUUUCUUCUUCC